AAAACUGUGUCCGAGGCUAUCGUCGACUACGUGCAGACCUACCUACCAACCGGAUCACUCAUCGGACGUCCUCCACCUGGGGUUAAGGCUUGCUUUUACGACUGGGGAGGCCUGGUGGUGUGUAGGAACCCGAAUACUCGGCGGUACGUGCUGCGCGGGCUCGUGGGAACCAGCAAUUGCUUCUUGGAAGACACCGCUCCAGUGUUAGUGGUGGACCUGGCACAAUUCACGGACUGGAUACGGCAAUGCGAUGCGGACAUCAACAACUGCACACAACUUCAGUGAUUGAUAACGUAAUAGCUCAAAUGUCACACACACACGCAGAGAUCAACGGUGUCUUACUAGACAACGAGUACAUGGAAUAAUCUAAAAUUAAAUUGGCUUGAAGGCAGAGUCACAUGAAUAGUUAUAUUAACCCACCCCCCCCAAAAAAAAAAAAAAAAAUAAUAAUAAUAAUAAUAAUAUAAAAAAAAAUAAUAAUAAAAAAAAAAUAAUAAUAAUAAUAAAAAAUAAUAAUAAUAAUAUGUACAUGUAUAUUUAAUUUGUUCUGAAAAUGCUUUAUUCUGCAUAUAAUAGUCGUCCGAAAGACAUUUUGGUUUUUAAUUCAGUUACGGUUAAAGGUAAAGUUUGUUUUGUUUAACACCACCACAAGAGCACACUGUUUAUCAAUAAUCAGCUAUUACAUGUCAAACAUUUGGUGAUUCUGACAUAUAAUUUUAGAGUGGAAAUUGGCUACAUUUUCCCGUCAGCAAGGAGUCUUUUAUAUGCACCAUUCCACAGACAGAGCAGCACAUACCACGGCCAUUAUUACACCAGUCUUGGUGCACUAGCUGGAACGGGAAAGGGCUCAAUGGGUUCACCGGCGGGGGUCGAUCCUAGGCCGACCGCACAUCAGGCAAGCGCUUUACCAUUAGGCUAUGUCCCGCUCCCAAUUCAUUUACGACUAUGUAGCGUUUAAACAAAAUAAUAAAAAAAACCCAGUGAUUGUCUGAUUUUUGUGACUCUGCCAUUAAAAGGAUAAACUGUGGGAAAAUAACCUAACUAUACUGAUAAAGUUUUGGGUUUUUUAAAACUCUUUUUUCGGGGUGUGGUGUAUUUUAUCACGAUUUUUUGUGUUAAUUUUUAAACAAUAAUUUGUGUUUAUCUACGUCUAUUCCGUUGUCUGGCUGUAAAUUUAUUAUUAUCAUUUUAUUUAUAAUAAAAAAUGUCGUUAAUUUA
Molecule: long non-coding RNA, 1218 nt
Organism: Gigantopelta aegis
Lineage: Eukaryota; Metazoa; Mollusca; Gastropoda; Neomphalida; Peltospiridae
Exons: 2
Source: RefSeq, a predicted model, not a curated record